GACGAACGCUGGCGGCGUGCUUAACACAUGCAAGUCGAGCGGUAAGGCCCUUUCGGGGGUACACGAGCGGCGAACGGGUGAGUAACACGUGGGUGACCUGCCCUCAGCUCUGGGAUAAGCCUGGGAAACCGGGUCUAAUACUGGAUAUGACUCCAUGACGCAUGUUGUGGGGUGGAAAGCCUUGUGCGGCUGAGGAUGGGCCCGCGGCCUAUCAGCUUGUUGGUGGGGUGAGGCCUACCAAGGCGACGACGGGUAGCCGGCCUGAGAGGGCGGCCGGCCACACUGGGACUGAGACACGGCCCAGACUCCUACGGGAGGCAGCAGUGGGGAAUCUUGCGCAAUGGGCGAAAGCCUGACGCAGCGACGCCGCGUGAGGGAUGACGGCCU
This 387-nucleotide ribosomal RNA is filed under the name uncultured bacterium. RNAcentral describes it as "bacterial SSU rRNA". It matches the Rfam family "Bacterial small subunit ribosomal RNA", at positions 28 to 417 of the family's 1533-position model. The record is from RNAcentral.